Molecule: ribosomal RNA, 17 nt
Filed under: Dendrobium officinale
Lineage: Eukaryota; Viridiplantae; Streptophyta; Magnoliopsida; Asparagales; Orchidaceae
Description: partial 18S ribosomal RNA
Source: RNAcentral
GGGGCAGGCGAGUAUUG